This 490-nucleotide ribosomal RNA is filed under the name uncultured bacterium. Its description in RNAcentral is "partial 16S ribosomal RNA". It matches the Rfam family "Bacterial small subunit ribosomal RNA", at positions 30 to 507 of the family's 1533-position model. The record is from RNAcentral.
AUUGAACGCUGGCGGCAUGCUUUACACAUGCAGGUCGGACGGCAGCACAGAGACGCUUGCUUCUUGGGUGGCGAGUGGCGAACGGGUGAGUAACAUAUCGGAACGUACCGAGCAGUGGGGGAUAACUAAUCGAAAGAUUAGCUAAUACCGCAUAUUUUCUGAGGAAGAAAGCAGGGGACCUUUGGGCCUUGCGCUGUUUGAGCGGCCGAUAUCUGAUUAGCUAGUUGGUGGGGUAAAGGCCUACCAAGGCGACGAUCAGUAGCGGGUCUGAGAGGAUGAUCCGCCACACUGGGACUGAGACACGGCCCAGACUCCUACGGGAGGCAGCAGUGGGGAAUUUUGGACAAUGGGCGCAAGCCUGAUCCAGCCAUGCCGCGUGUCUGAAGAAGGCCUUCGGGUUGUAAAGGACUUUUGUCAGGGAAGAAAAGGGCGGGGUUAAUACCCCUGUCUGAUGACGGUACCUGAAGAAUAAGCACCGGCUAACUACGUG